AUUGAACGCUGGCGGCAGGCCUAACACAUGCAAGUCGAGCGAGCGGCGGACGGGUGAGUAAUGUAUGGGGACUGCCCGAUAGAGGGGGAUAACUACUGGAAACGGUAGCUAAUACCGCAUACUAUCGGAUAACCCAUAUGGGAGUAGCUAGUAGGUGGGGUAAUGGCUCACCUAGGCGGCGAUCCCUAGCUGGUCUGAGAGUAGGAUCAGCGACAUGGGGACUGAGAAACGGCCCAGAGUCCUACGGAGGCAGCAGUGGGGAAUAUUGCACAAUGGGCGAAAGCCUGAUGCAGCCAUGCCGAGUGUAUGAAGAAGGCCCUAGGGUUGUAAAGUACUUUCAGUCGGGAGGCGUUACCGACAGAAGAAGCACCGGCUAACUACGUGCCAGCAGCCGCGGUAAUAC
Molecule: ribosomal RNA, 403 nt
Filed under: uncultured bacterium
Lineage: Bacteria
Description: partial 16S ribosomal RNA
Rfam family: Bacterial small subunit ribosomal RNA
Source: RNAcentral